This 328-nucleotide long non-coding RNA is filed under the name Gallus gallus (chicken). RNAcentral's name for it is "long non-coding RNA NONGGAT003037". Lineage: Eukaryota; Metazoa; Chordata; Aves; Galliformes; Phasianidae. The record is from RNAcentral.
GCAGCCGGCCGGAGCCGCGCGGCUCGGAGGUGGGGUCUGAGCACUGCCCUCAGGCAGAGACGGGGACAUGGAUCGUGGUGUUACCCUGGAGAACCCCUAUGCCAGCGUGAACAUCCCACGGUCCCAGUUCCAGCAGAGCUUCAUCACUCGCUACCUGGAGGACGAGCCCGCAUCACCCACCGUCAUUGCCAACCCUGCCGUCGUGCCCGUGCACAGCACGGAGGAGCAGGCGGGCAGCUGGGACAAGCAGCCCGUUUCCACGGAGAGGUCCUGGUCCCGGCCUUACAAUCCCUAUGCCAGCAUGAAGAUGCCCAAUGGGGAAUCACCC